RNAcentral lists this ribosomal RNA (1343 nucleotides) under uncultured bacterium. Its description in RNAcentral is "16S ribosomal RNA". It matches the Rfam family "Bacterial small subunit ribosomal RNA", at positions 28 to 1378 of the family's 1533-position model. The record is from RNAcentral.
GACGAACGCUGGCGGCGUGCUUAACACAUGCAAGUCGAACGGAAAGGCCCUGCUUUUGUGGGGUGCUCGAGUGGCGAACGGGUGAGUAACACGUGAGUAACCUGCCCUUGACUUUGGGAUAACUUCAGGAAACUGGGGCUAAUACCGGAUAGGAGCUCCUGCUGCAUGGUGGGGGUUGGAAAGUUUCGGCGGUUGGGGAUGGACUCGCGGCUUAUCAGCUUGUUGGUGGGGUAGUGGCUUACCAAGGCUUUGACGGGUAGCCGGCCUGAGAGGGUGACCGGCCACAUUGGGACUGAGAUACGGCCCAGACUCCUACGGGAGGCAGCAGUGGGGAAUAUUGCACAAUGGGCGGAAGCCUGAUGCAGCAACGCCGCGUGCGGGAUGACGGCCUUCGGGUUGUAAACCGCUUUCGCCUGUGACGAAGCGUGAGUGACGGUAAUGGGUAAAGAAGCACCGGCUAACUACGUGCCAGCAGCCGCGGUGAUACGUAGGGUGCGAGCGUUGUCCGGAUUUAUUGGGCGUAAAGGGCUCGUAGGUGGUUGAUCGCGUCGGAAGUGUAAUCUUGGGGCUUAACCCUGAGCGUGCUUUCGAUACGGGUUGACUUGAGGAAGGUAGGGGAGAAUGGAAUUCCUGGUGGAGCGGUGGAAUGCGCAGAUAUCAGGAGGAACACCAGAGGCGAAGGCGGUUCUCUGGGCCUUUCCUGACGCUGAGGAGCGAAAGCGUGGGGAGCGAACAGGCUUAGAUACCCUGGUAGUCCACGCUGUAAACGGUGGGUACUAGGUGUGGGGUCCAUUCCACGGGUUCCGUGCCGUAGCUAACGCUUUAAGUACCCCGCCUGGGGAGUACGGCCGCAAGGCUAAAACUCAAAGGAAUUGACGAGGCCCCGCACAAGCGGCGGAGCAUGCGGAUUAAUUCGAUGCAACGCGUAGAACCUUACCUGGGUUUGACAUGGAUCGGGAGUGCUCAGAGAUGGGUGUGCCUCUUUUGGGGUCGGUUCACAGGUGGUGCAUGGCUGUCGUCAGCUCGUGUCGUGAGAUGUUGGGUUAAGUCCCGCAACGAGCGCAACCCUUGUUCACUGUUGCCAGCACGUUAUGGUGGGGACUCAGUGGAGACCGCCGGGGUCAACUCGGAGGAAGGUGGGGAUGACGUCAAGUCAUCAUGCCCCUUAUGUCCAGGGCUUCACGCAUGCUACAAUGGCUGGUACAGAGAGUGGCGAGCCUGUGAGGGUGAGCGAAUCUCGGAAAGCCGGUCUCAGUUCGGAUUGGGGUCUGCAACUCGACCUCAUGAAGUCGGAGUCGCUAGUAAUCGCAGAUCAGCAACGCUGCGGUGAAUACGUUCCCGGG